UACAUGGGGUGCAAACGUUGCUCGGAAUUAUUGGGCGUAAAGCGCACGUAGGCGGUUUGUUAAGUCGGAUGUGAAAUCCCUCGGCUCAACUGAGGAAGUGCACCCGAAACUGGCAGGCUUGAGUACUAAAGAGGGUCGCGGAAUUCCCGGUGUAGAGGUGAAAUUCGUAGAUAUCUGGAGGAACACCGGUGGCGAAGGCGGCGUCCUGGACCAACACUGACACUGAGGAGCGAAAGCCAGGGGAGCAAACGGG
This 253-nucleotide ribosomal RNA is filed under the name uncultured bacterium. Its description in RNAcentral is "partial 16S ribosomal RNA". It matches the Rfam family "Bacterial small subunit ribosomal RNA", at positions 524 to 776 of the family's 1533-position model. The record is from RNAcentral.